UACAGAGGUCUCAAGCGUUGUUCGGAUUCAUUGGGCGUAAAGGGUGCGUAGGUGGCGGGGUAAGUCAGGUGUGAAAUUUCGGAGCUCAACUCCGAAACUGCAUUUGAUACUGCCUUGCUUGAGGACUGGAGAGGAGACUGGAAUUCACGGUGUAACAGUGAAAUGCGUAGAGAUCGUGAGGAAGACCAGUGGCGAAGGCGGGUCUCUGGACAGUUCCUGACACUGAGGCACGAAGGCCAGGGGAGCAAACGGG
This 253-nucleotide ribosomal RNA is filed under the name uncultured bacterium. RNAcentral's name for it is "partial 16S ribosomal RNA". It matches the Rfam family "Bacterial small subunit ribosomal RNA", at positions 524 to 776 of the family's 1533-position model. The record is from RNAcentral.